AAGUCGUAACAAGGUUUCCGUAGGUGAACCUGCGGAAGGAUCAUUAAAGAUUCUGGCCUUGUGCCAAAACCCUUCAGCUGUGCGCCUUUGGCUGCACGCUGUCGAAUCUCACACCCCUGCGCACCUUUUCGGUUGUGGCCCACAACGCUGGGCUGCAUCCGCUUUACAUCGAACCACUCGAGUCUCGAAUGUCAAAUACCGUAACAGUAACAACUUUCAACAACGGAUCUCUUGGCUCUCGCAUCGAUGAAGAACGCAGCGAAAUGCGAUAAGUAAUGUGAAUUGCAGAAUUCAGUGAAUCAUCGAAUCUUUGAACGCACCUUGCGCUCCUCGGUAUUCUGUGGAGCAUGCCUGUUCGAGUGUCACGUUAACCCUCACCUCUGGGAUGUAACAGUCUCUGACCGUGGAUUUGGAUGCCUGCCGUAAAUGGCUCAUCCUGAAAUGCAUUAGCUGGUGCUUGUUAGAGCGCUCGGCAUGGUGUGAUAAUUAUCUGCGCCGUUGCCUUAGGCCUCUUCCACGUGUGCCGCUUAUAGCCGUCCCCCCUGCGGACAAUGACAGUUAAAGCCUUGGCCUCAAAUCAGGUAGGACUACCCGCUGAACUUAA
Molecule: ribosomal RNA, 604 nt
Filed under: uncultured fungus
Lineage: Eukaryota; Fungi
Description: eukaryotic LSU rRNA
Rfam family: 5.8S ribosomal RNA (bases 212-365)
Source: RNAcentral